This 506-nucleotide ribosomal RNA is filed under the name uncultured bacterium. Its description in RNAcentral is "partial 16S ribosomal RNA". It matches the Rfam family "Bacterial small subunit ribosomal RNA", at positions 28 to 523 of the family's 1533-position model. The record is from RNAcentral.
GAUGAACGCUAGCUACAGGCUUAACACAUGCAAGUCGAGGGGUAACGAGAGGAAAGCUUGCUUUCCUUGUCGACGACCGGCGCACGGGUGAGUAACGCGUAUCCAACCUGCCCCCAACUAGGGAAUAACCUUGCGAAAGGAAGACUAAUACCCUAUAAUUUCCUCAGAUGUCAUCUGACGAGGAAUAAAGAUUUAUCGGUUGUGGAUGGGGAUGCGUCUGAGUAGCUUGUUGGCGGGGUAACGGCCCACCAAGGCAACGAUCAGUAGGGGUUCUGAGAGGAAGGUCCCCCACAUUGGAACUGAGACACGGUCCAAACUCCUACGGGAGGCAGCAGUGAGGAAUAUUGGUCAAUGGGCGGAAGCCUGAACCAGCCAAGUAGCGUGCAGGGUGACGGCCCUAUGGGUUGUAAACUGCUUUUAUACAGGAAUAAAGUUAGCCUCGUGUGGUUAUUUGUAGGUACUGUAUGAAUAAGGACCGGCUAAUUCCGUGCCAGCCGCCGCCGUAA